This is a long non-coding RNA of Triticum aestivum (bread wheat), 1033 nucleotides long. RefSeq lists it as uncharacterized. The record is from RefSeq and is a predicted model, not a curated record. The transcript has 3 exons. Lineage: Eukaryota; Viridiplantae; Streptophyta; Magnoliopsida; Poales; Poaceae.
UUCCCCAAUCCCGCAUGGGCCGCCGCCCUCUGCCCCAUCGCGCCGCCGCCCCCGUCGCCCAAACUGCCACGACCCAUCACCUCCACGCGCCGCCGAGCUGCAGCGGUGGCAGCUGCCACUGUCACGGCCUUGCGGGGUUGGGGUCGAAUGGCACGGCCUAGCCAAGGGACGUCCAUGGCGGGCAGCAGGCACGAGAAGGGGAGCCAAAGUAAUGGAAGGAGGGUGGCGCGAGGGCCGAAAACUUCACCGAAAUCAGGCGAUCAGCAGCGCGUCCGCCGUUCCGCACGAGGCACGGCAGGGGGUAGGGUCGUGGGCAGCCGUGGCCGUGAGGCUCCAUGGUGCGUGACAUGAUACCGGGUAAAUUUUGGCACCAGACACUAAUCAUUGUGGCUCUCAUAAUGAUGCGGCACCCCAAGUUGACGGUGCUCUGUGCCUUGCUGUUGUGCUUGUUUUCUGGACGGUAGUUGAAGCUACAGCUUUUGCAGCACCCGAGUGUUUGGCAAAAUUGGAUUACUUAAUUACCUGUUGUGUUCCAUGCUGGUUAAGGCUUGGGAGGAUUGUUCCGAAUUUGAUAUCGAGGAAGCACACUAGCAACGCAACAACUGGUAAGAUGACGAUGUCACUCUUCAUAAACUAUCGAGGCACGUGGCCAUAGCCAUGGACUUUGCGGCCGGCCUGCUUAUCCUUGCCAAGGCAAAAAUGCAUGACCCAGUUUCCAACUUUGAACGCCGACAUGGACAACGGCCUCAAGUGCUCCAGCAUCUUCUUUGUAGGUAGACCGGCACCGCUAAGGGCUUAGCCAAACCACUUCUUUUUUUACCUAUAUUAACAACCAAUCGCUACAUAUUGUCAUCGGAUAAAUUUGGACGGAUAGGAUUUUACUAAAGUUUAUUAAUGAUACUUUGUUUCAGAAUAUGUGGAGAGGCAGUUUGCACCAUAGUUCAAGCCAGACUCUAGAUUACAUGGCUAAGGAGCUCACUUAUACUGGCAAUUGUUUACUGUCUUUAUUUAAAUUAAAAUGGUUUAUGUACUC